RNAcentral lists this ribosomal RNA (468 nucleotides) under uncultured bacterium. RNAcentral describes it as "partial 16S ribosomal RNA". It matches the Rfam family "Bacterial small subunit ribosomal RNA", at positions 28 to 507 of the family's 1533-position model. The record is from RNAcentral.
GACGAACGCUGGCGGCGUGCUUAACACAUGCAAGUCGAACGGAAAGGCCCUGCUUUUGUGCGGUGCUCGAGUGGCGAACGGGUGAGUAACACGUGAGUAACCUGCACUUGACUUUGGGAUAACUUCAGGAAACUGGGGCUAAUCCCGGAUAGGAGCUACUGCUGCAUGGUGGGGGUUGGAAAGUUUCGGCGGUUGGGGAUGGACUCGCGGCUUAUCAGCUUGUUGGUUGGGUAGUGGCUUACCAAGGCUUUGACGGGUAGCCGGCCUGAGAGGGUGACCGGCCACACUGGGCCUGAGAUAAGGCCCAGACUCGUACGGGAGGCAAGGGUGGGGAAGAGUGUAUAAUGGGCGGAAGGCUGGUGUAGCAACGCCGUGUGCGGGAAGACGGGCUUCGGGUAGUAAAGCGCUGCCGCCUGAGACGAAGCGUGAGUGACGGUAACGGGUAAAGAAGCACCGGCUAACUACGUG